Molecule: long non-coding RNA, 328 nt
Organism: Paramacrobiotus metropolitanus
Lineage: Eukaryota; Metazoa; Tardigrada; Eutardigrada; Parachela; Macrobiotidae
Exons: 3
Source: RefSeq, a predicted model, not a curated record
CGAUUCUGCUUUCUCACGAUCCGCAAUCGGAUGUCUGGAGUGAGUUGCCUACAAUGCCGACGGCACGUCUGCGCGCUUCGGCAUGUGUUGGACCGGACGGAUGGAUCUAUGUCAUCGGUGGAAGCAAGACGAAUUAUGGGGAAUUCCUUGGUUCGGUGGAGGCCUUCAAUCCAGUGACCAGAGAGUGAAUGAAAAAAUGUGGUGUGGGCCAUCCUCGACGUUCGGCCGGGACUUGCUGUGUCGGAGGUAAAAUCUACGUGCUGGUUGGCUGGGGUGGUGUUUGCCACCGACUGUGUGAAGUGUACGAUGUGGCGUCGGACACAUGGAC